UAGGGAAUCUUCCACAAUGGACGCAAGUCUGAUGGAGCAACGCCGCGUGAGUGAAGAAGGUUUUCGGAUCGUAAAGCUCUGUUGUAAGAGAAGAACGUGUGUGAGAGUGGAAAGUUCACNCAGUGACGGUAACUUACCAGAAAGGGACGGCUAACUACGUGCCAG
This 165-nucleotide ribosomal RNA is filed under the name uncultured bacterium. Its description in RNAcentral is "partial 16S rRNA". It matches the Rfam family "Bacterial small subunit ribosomal RNA", at positions 355 to 511 of the family's 1533-position model. The record is from RNAcentral.